This 1485-nucleotide long non-coding RNA is filed under the name Brachypodium distachyon (stiff brome). RNAcentral describes it as "long non-coding RNA (BDIS_LNC001936)". The record is from RNAcentral. Lineage: Eukaryota; Viridiplantae; Streptophyta; Magnoliopsida; Poales; Poaceae.
UCACUUUAUUGCAAAUAUCCCAGCAUGAACACACAAAUAUCCCCAGUGUAUCUAUCAGACGGGGAGAAGAGUGAACCCUUCAUCACCUCGAUCGGCAUCCAUUUCCAUUGAUCAGGACUUUCUUUUAAAGACGCAGGCAUUCAGCUUACCGAUCCUUCUGUAAUUCAGAGUAAAACUUAUCCAUCAGAGAGAGCAGUCCCUUUAUUUUAUUCCUGCAGAUAGAGGAGAAUAAAGAUGCGGCAUACCCAUACAUCCGAUAUAUGCAGGCAACAUCCACGCGCCUAUAAAUACCGACCCCUGCAUCCUCAAAGACCUCAUCCCCUCCUCAAGCGAUCAGCUAGCACUUGGCUUCAACACAGCUAGAACACACCAAUUACAACACGGGAGAGGAGAAGCAAGAAGGUGAAUCUAUCAAGCAAUGGAGUACGACUACCAGUACAGCAGCAGCAGCAGCCUCGCCAAGGAGAAGAGGCCUCCGGCCAAGAGGGGCCAGGUCAAGCUGCAGAUAGCGAGGGCGCUGAGCAACCUCGUGGCGCCGAGCAGCGGCGCCGCCGACUCGAAGCAAACAAAUCUCAGCAGCUUCAGAAGGGAAACAAGCUACAACUGAACUCAUCGAUCGUGUCUUUAGAUGGUGUGUGUGUGUGGAACAAGUUAAAGUGAUGUUUACUACUAGCUGUUUGUUUCUCUUUUGAGGAUUUUAGCAAGAUGCAUGGCUUUUCGGUCCAUAUAAGCACCUGCUUGAUCCACUAUGUUGUAACUUGGCCGGAGUGGGAAUUUGGAAGCUUUGUACUAUACGUAUCAAUUUCAGAAAGGGAACGAAGUUCCAUAUGAUAUCUUACUGUUUGUUCAUGCAUCCAAGACUUCUCGAUUAGGGUGUGCUUGAGUGUUGGUUCAUAUUUCAGUUACCCCUAUUAGGUUGUUGGAUAAAGAAAAGGGCAAAUAUCAUGUUAAAAAUACUCCAUUUCUGGUGGUUUAAAUAUUCUCGGUUCAUGUAAUAAAUCAGUUCGAUAAAUUUCCAACAAAAAAGUUUUUUUAAGGGGAGAAACGUCCUGGUCUCUGCAUCAAUCGAUACAAACAGCUAAAUAAAUGAAGAUAUUUCUUAACCCAUAUCAUGUAUUCAAAGUUAUCAAGCUCUUUUCUCUUUGUUGGGAUAAACGAAAAAGGAAACCCAAGGAUGAAAACCAAAAGAGAAAACGGCCAAGUUGUUCCGACAGAUUUCUAUUUUUCCAUUUCCUCUGAUGCAAGUAUAAAACUGUUUUCUAGAAAAAUGUAAAUCAUUUUCUUCUAAGAUGUAGUACUACUGUUUCAUAACUAACUCCACACUUACAAUGUUAAACUAACGCUUAAACCACGAAGCCUUUGAGUUGUUGUGUUGGUCGAAGGGGAUAUAUUCACAUUGCAGAGAUCAAAGCUCUCAAGUGUGCAAGUCAGAAUCUUUUCAGUGGAAAGAAAAAGGUGCAUCUUUCUAGGACUUAUUUUUGUCAC